This 793-nucleotide long non-coding RNA is filed under the name Rosa chinensis. RNAcentral describes it as "sRNA RchiOBHm_Chr5g0026071". Lineage: Eukaryota; Viridiplantae; Streptophyta; Magnoliopsida; Rosales; Rosaceae. The record is from RNAcentral.
CGGUCUCGACGUUGAUGAUGUCUCUCUAAUAAUCUCGGCCCUAACCUCCACGUCGGUGUCAACCUUGACGUCGGCGCCAACCUCGAUGUCAGUGACGUUUUUCUCAAUAACCUCAGCGUCAACCUCGACGUCAGUGACUUCUUUCUCAAUAACCUCGGCGCUAACCUAGAUGUCUGUGUCAACCUCGACGUCGGAUCCAACCCCGACGUCAGUGACGUCUUUCGCAAUAACCUCAGUGUCGACCUCGACGUUGGAGUCUCGUCGUCGGCCCUUGGCGUCAACGUCGACGUCGCCGUAGGCGUUUUCCUCGACUUAGGUGUCGAUCUCGACGUCUUUCUCUAUACCCUCGGCGUCAACCUCGACGUCGGUGACGUCUUUCGCAAUAACCUCAGUGUCGACCUAGACGUCGGUGUCGACCUCGACGUCGGUGCUAACCUUGACUUCGGCGCCAACCUUGACGUAGGCAACGUCUUUCGCAAUAACCUAAGUGUCGACCUUGACAUCGGCUUCUCGUCGUCAGUGUAGGCGUUUUCCUCAAUAACCUCACCUCAACGCCGACCUUGACCUCGAUGUCUGUGUCGAUCUCAAAGUCAGUGACAUCUUUCUCAAUAACCUUAGCGUCGACCUCGACAACGGCGUAGGCGUUUUUCUCAAUAACCUCACCUUAGCGCCGACCUCAAUGAGGGUGUCAAUCUCGGCUUCGUCAACAUAGGCAUCCUCAUAAUAACCUCAGCAUCGACCCCGACGUCGGCCUAGAUGAUGACGACGACUGCCGCAAUGACUGUCACCGGCG